CGCACGUGCGCACGCGCCCAAGGCCCCAGUUGGGCCGGAGGCUUCGAUAAGAGAGGAGCUCUGUUCGCGAGCUCCUCUCUAAAGUCUUCUAACUUGGACCAACAGGGACCUGAAGGAAGCUGGAGGGGAGGGAAGCAUACAACCAAACACUCGUUUCGUCAAAGAUGUCAGCAUAACAGGAGCACCAGCACAUAACUCUCCACAGGUCCGUCAAAGCAAGACAGGAAUAACCAGCAAUGCGAGAGAAUUUGGGAUGUUAAUUCACUGGCCCUACCCUAGUGAGGGGGAAAGAGCAAAGACAUUUCUGAGGCAAAAUGGUUUUGCCAGGCAGCAGCUGGGAGUUUCAUCGCCUACUUACUGUUUGAUGGAGAGAGCAAUAUCCCAAAGAAAGGCCCUUUUUAGGGUCCAAAUUUUCACUCCCCUCAGACCUCCCGAGUGUGGGAGCCUCAGGCCGGGCUGCUGCCUGUUGGCAGAACAGCUGCUGCUGCCGUCAGAUGGUCAGGCUGAAACCUGAGGACCGAGGGUUCUUCAGGUAGCAUCAUCCUCUCUCAGCUUUGGCACUCACCCUUCUGGGCAGCUGGUCAAGUGUCAGACGGUUCCUGCAACCCUGCAGCUCCAUCUCGUAGUGCAGGGUGGAUGGUACAACCAUCUGAGAAUGCACAGAAAAAGGAAUAUCCACAUGUUCUGUGCUCGGCCCCAUAGCAGUGGGGUCCUUACAAACACUUGGGCAUUCUGGAGUUUUGACCCUCACCAAAUAUAAUAUACAGCCUCCAGUCUCCAUCUCUA
Long non-coding RNA from Hemicordylus capensis (graceful crag lizard), 786 nucleotides. RefSeq lists it as uncharacterized. The transcript is spliced from 2 exons. Lineage: Eukaryota; Metazoa; Chordata; Lepidosauria; Squamata; Cordylidae. The record is from RefSeq and is a predicted model, not a curated record.